This 467-nucleotide ribosomal RNA is filed under the name uncultured bacterium. RNAcentral describes it as "bacterial SSU rRNA". It matches the Rfam family "Bacterial small subunit ribosomal RNA", at positions 328 to 793 of the family's 1533-position model. The record is from RNAcentral.
GAACCAGACUCCUACGGGAGGCAGCAGUGAGGAAUAUUGGUCAAUGGGCGAGAGCCUGAACCAGCCAAGUCGCGUGAAGGAUGAAGGAUCUAUGGUUUGUAAACUUCUUUUAUAUGGGAAUAAAGUGAGGAACGUGUUCCUUUUUGUAUGUACCAUAUGAAUAAGCAUCGGCUAACUCCGUGCCAGCAGCCGCGGUAAUACGGAGGAUGCGAGCGUUAUCCGGAUUUAUUGGGUUUAAAGGGUGCGCAGGCGGAAUGUCAAGUCAGCGGUAAAAUUUCGGGGCUCAACCCCGUCGUGCCGUUGAAACUGGCGUUCUUGAGUGAGCGAGAAGUAUGCGGAAUGCGUGGUGUAGCGGUGAAAUGCUUAGAUAUUGCGCAGAACCCCGAUUGCGAAGGCAGCAUACCGGCGGCGAUCUGACGCUGAGGCACGAAAGCGUGGGUAUCGAACAGGAUUAGAUACCCGUGUAG